AUUGAACGCUGGCGGCAUGCCUUACACAUGCAAGUCGAACGGCAGCACGGGUGCUUGCACCUGGUGGCGAGUGGCGAACGGGUGAGUAAUAUAUCGGAACGUACCUUAUCGUGGGGGAUAACGCAGCGAAAGCUGCGCUAAUACCGCAUACGCCCUGAGGGGGAAAGCGGGGGGACCGUAAGGCCUCGCGCGAUUAGAGCGGCCGAUAUCUGAUUAGCUUGUUGGUGGGGUAAAAGCCCACCAAGGCGACGAUCAGUAGCUGGUCUGAGAGGACGAUCAGCCACACUGGGACUGAGACACGGCCCAGACUCCUACGGGAGGCAGCAGUGGGGAAUUUUGGACAAUGGGGGCAACCCUGAUCCAGCAAUGCCGCGUGAGUGAAGAAGGCCUUCGGGUUGUAAAGCUCUUUUGUCAGGGAAGAAACAGCAGCUCUAACACAGUCUGCGAAUGACGGUACCUGAAGAAUAAGCACCGGCUAACUACGUG
RNAcentral lists this ribosomal RNA (486 nucleotides) under uncultured bacterium. Its description in RNAcentral is "bacterial SSU rRNA". It matches the Rfam family "Bacterial small subunit ribosomal RNA", at positions 30 to 507 of the family's 1533-position model. The record is from RNAcentral.